RNAcentral lists this long non-coding RNA (204 nucleotides) under Phoenix dactylifera (date palm). RNAcentral's name for it is "long non-coding RNA (PDAC_LNC017502)". Lineage: Eukaryota; Viridiplantae; Streptophyta; Magnoliopsida; Arecales; Arecaceae. The record is from RNAcentral.
CCGACCAACAGAUUUGCAACCCUAAUAUCUCUUCUCCAAAGGAUAACCCCAACUACAGCUGCUGGGUCUAGAAUAAUUUCCAUAAACCCAACUCGGUCAGCUAUUGAGUUGGGUCUACAUCUAAUAUCAACAUGAAACUAGCUCGGGUUGAGAUCAAUCAUUUUCGGAUCCGACCAACAGAUUUGCAACCCUAAUAUCUCUUCU